This is a small nucleolar RNA of Gastrolobium bilobum, 66 nucleotides long. RefSeq annotates it as small nucleolar RNA SNORD2. NCBI's taxonomy places the organism in Eukaryota, Viridiplantae, Streptophyta, Magnoliopsida, Fabales, Fabaceae. The transcript has a single exon. The record is from RefSeq and is a predicted model, not a curated record.
AAUUGAUAAGAUGCAAUACCAUCUACCGGCACUGACUCUAAAUGGAGAUGGGUUUUUUCAUCAGUU